CACGUAGGGCGCAAGCGUUGUCCGGAAUUAUUGGGCGUAAAGAGCUCGUAGGCGGUCUGUUGCGUCCGCUGUGAAAACCCAGGGCUUAACCCUGGGCUUGCAGUGGAUACGGGCAGACUAGAGGCAGGUAGGGGAGAAUGGAAUUCCCGGUGUAGCGGUGAAAUGCGCAGAUAUCGGGAGGAACACCGGUGGCGAAGGCGGUUCUCUGGGCCUGACCUGACGCUGAGGAGCGAAAGCGUGGGGAGCGAACAGG
This 253-nucleotide ribosomal RNA is filed under the name uncultured bacterium. Its description in RNAcentral is "partial 16S ribosomal RNA". It matches the Rfam family "Bacterial small subunit ribosomal RNA", at positions 524 to 776 of the family's 1533-position model. The record is from RNAcentral.